This is a long non-coding RNA of Bacillus rossius redtenbacheri, 1193 nucleotides long. RefSeq lists it as uncharacterized. The transcript has 2 exons. The record is from RefSeq and is a predicted model, not a curated record. NCBI's taxonomy places the organism in Eukaryota, Metazoa, Arthropoda, Insecta, Phasmatodea, Bacillidae.
UUAAGAGGGAGGUAUCGAGUUAAAAAUAAAAAAAUCCCUUUAAAAGUAAUGAAGAAAAAAUCAACAUGGCGUGAGAGAUCGUGACUUAAGGUUUUUAUUUUAGGUUUUGACGUUCAACAUCUUAGCUCUCGGUAUACAGCAUUUGCUUCGAGCAUAUAUAUCAUAGAGAGCUUAUUCGUCGUUUGUUUGGAAACCGAGAUCUCGAACAGCUGAUUGUUGGCUACCUGCUGGAAAACUUCCAUAAGAACCAAUGUAGUGGCGGGCUAUCGUGCGGGAUUUCUAUAGUUUGCUGCGUUUGAGAAAGAUAAUAGGUUUGGUUUAUAUUAAUAAACGUAUUAAUUAACCAACGUAGAAAUAUAUUAGUGCUGAAGCUUAUCAGAAAGUUUGUAAAAUAUGGUUUUUUAACUUGAAGACCCAACCCUUGUUUACCCUACUUCAAAUGUAUUUAAUUUAAUAUGGUUACUUCUUGUGUUGCGUACGGAUGUAAUGAGAGAUUCGAAAAAAGAAGCAGUGUUUCGUUUCACAGUUGAUGAGAAAAGAAGAAGUAUUUGGACUUUGGCUCUUAAAAGGGUUGAUUUAUAUAUGAUCUUUUGUUUUGAGUAAAGAGCAGACAUUCAUAAAACUAAACAGGGUUGAUGCAUUUGUAAACAAAGAUUGUGCAAUGAUAUGGAUGCCAAUGAUGUGACCAAAUUCUUGUAAUUUAUGUCUUUGGACUAAAUUUAUUUACUACUUAUUAGAAUGUAAACUCAAGAAAUGUAACAUACUGUAUAUGCCUAUGUUUACCAUAAUUAUAUAGUUUUAAGUUUCAUUGAAGCUAAAUGUAAAAUGAUUUUGGAAAAGUAUCUGUAUGUGUGUGUGAAUGUGACAUACAAUUGUACAUGAACUAUUGUAUUUAAUAAAAUAGAUUUUCUUACUUUUUUUUUUUAACUAAAAUGGUUUUCAAUUUUGAUUUAUUAUUUAUUUUAGAACCUGAAACCUCAUAUAUUUAACUGCUGUAAUUUAAACAUAACUUGUUAUUUUUUGUUUACUUUUAAUUGUAGGUAAUUAGAUACUGUAGAUACCUACCAUAUUGUUUUUCAGUUCCUAACUCGGUGGCCAAGGCGGCAGUUCAGCUUGUCGCUCAGCAAGUCAGAAUAUAAUGUCUAUAUUUAAAUGUGUGCUUUAAUAAGAAUAAAUUUGUCAUUCCUUCCUCA